RNAcentral lists this ribosomal RNA (486 nucleotides) under Triticum aestivum (bread wheat). RNAcentral's name for it is "partial small subunit ribosomal RNA". Lineage: Eukaryota; Viridiplantae; Streptophyta; Magnoliopsida; Poales; Poaceae. The record is from RNAcentral.
AUGCCAAGGACCUGGACAGGAAAGGAAGAUGUCUGUGCAAUAGCAGAGGAGGCUCGAUCUGCUGCUCUCAAACUUCUGUCUGUAUUAGCCGUCAUUCGCUGGGAUGACAAGCCAGAUAGGAUUGAAAACAUUCUGACUUCCACACUUCUAGAUGGUUCUGUUGAGUCAAAGAGUUCAAGUGCUUCUUCUGGUGACCCGCUUGCUUCAACUAGCUGGGAAGAGGUUCAUCCCAAGCAUACGCUUAUUACUCCAGCUCAGUGCAAGUCAGUGUGGAAGCAGUUCCAAUCAGAAACUGAGUUCACCAUUACACAAGUAGUAUCAACGCAGCAAGCUCACAUGCGUGGUAAUGGCAGACUGCCUCCUCCUUGGGCGAUGGUUGCUAUCACAGUUCUUGGUUUUGAUGAGAUCAUGAUGCUUCUGAGUUGUGCAGGAAUCCUAUAUACAUGUUCUUGCUAUUUGCGGGUUAUUUGCUUGUCAGGGCUUUAA